UGCAGUCGAGCGAUGGAUUAAGAGCGUUGCUCUUAGGAAGUUAGCGGCGGACGGGUGAGUAACACGUGGGUAACCUGCCCAUAAGACUGGGAUAACUCCGGGAAACCGGGGCUAAUACCGGAUAACAUUUUGAACUGCAUGGAUCGAAAUUGAAAGGCGGCUUCGGCUGUCACUUAUGGAUGGACCCGCGUCGCAUUAGCUAGUUGGUGAGGUAACGGCUCACCAAGGCAACGAUGCAUAACCGACCUGAGAGGGUGAUCGGCCACACUGGGACUGAGACACGGCCCAGACUCCUACGGGAGGCAGCAGUAGGGAAUCUUCCGCAAUGGACGAAAGUCUGACGGAGCAACGCCGCGUGAGUGAUGAAGGCUUUCGGGUCGUAAAACUCUGUUGUUAGGGAAGAACAAGUGCUAGUUGAAUAAGCUGGCACCUUGACGGUACCUAACCAGAAAGCCACGGCUAACUACGUGCCAGCAGCCGCGGUAAUACGUAUGUGGCAAGCGUUAUCCGGAAUUAUUGGGCGUAAAGCGCGCGCAGGUGGUUUCUUAAGUCUGAUGUGAAAGCCCACGGCUCAACCGUGGAGGGUCAUUGGAAACUGGGAGACUUGAGUGCAAAGAGGAAAGUGGAAUUCCAUGUGUAGAGGUGAAAUGCGUAGAGAUAUGGAGGAACACAAGUGGCGAAGGCGACUUUCUGGUCUGUAACUGACACUGAGGCGCGAAAGCGUAGGGAGCAAACAGGAUUAGAUACCCUGGUAG
This 755-nucleotide ribosomal RNA is filed under the name Bacillus sp. PS52A. RNAcentral describes it as "bacterial SSU rRNA". It matches the Rfam family "Bacterial small subunit ribosomal RNA", at positions 56 to 793 of the family's 1533-position model. Lineage: Bacteria; Bacillati; Bacillota; Bacilli; Caryophanales; Bacillaceae. The record is from RNAcentral.